CUUGGUCAUUUAGAGGAAGUAAAAGUCGUAACAAGGUUUCCGUAGGUGAACCUGCGGAAGGAUCAUUCAUAAUAAAGUGUUUUAUGGCACUUUUUAAAAAUCCAUAUCCACCUUGUGUGCAAUGUUAGGUCUCGUCAAUCUUGGCGAGAUUUUUAUACAUCAACUCAUUCUUUAACUAAUUUGUCUGAAAAAUAUUAUGAAUACUUAAUUCAAAAUACAACUUUCAACAACGGAUCUCUUGGCUCUCGCAUCGAUGAAGAACGCAGCGAAAUGCGAUACGUAAUGUGAAUUGCAGAAUUCAGUGAAUCAUCGAAUCUUUGAACGCAUAUUGCGCUCUCUGGUAUUCCGGAGAGCAUGCUUGUUUGAGUAUCAGUAAACACCCCUCAGAACUUCUUGAUUUUCGAAUCUUGGAGCUCUGGAUUUGAGUGAUCCCAACGCGUUCUUUCGCAGAACAUGGCGGGCCACUUGAAAUGCAGGUGCAGCUGGACUUUCUUCUGAGCUAAAAGCAUAUUUAUUUAGUCCUGUCAACACUUGUGUUGCGGAUUAUUACUUCUGCUGCAGCUAACAUAAAGGUUGAUUGUUCAAAUGCUGACUGAUGCAGGAUUUAUCAGUAGCGUAAGCUAUCUGUUAAACUCGAUCUCAAAUCAAGUAAGACUACCCGCUGAACUUAAGCAUAUCAAUAAGCGGAGGAA
RNAcentral lists this ribosomal RNA (692 nucleotides) under fungal sp. 36 GM 07-10. Its description in RNAcentral is "eukaryotic LSU rRNA". The stretch from base 219 to 372 matches the Rfam family "5.8S ribosomal RNA". The record is from RNAcentral. Lineage: Eukaryota; Fungi.